This 345-nucleotide unclassified non-coding RNA is filed under the name Dactylella sp. Its description in RNAcentral is "partial contains 5.8S ribosomal RNA, internal transcribed spacer 2, and large subunit ribosomal RNA". The stretch from base 1 to 71 matches the Rfam family "5.8S ribosomal RNA", at positions 84 to 154 of the family's 154-position model. The record is from RNAcentral. Lineage: Eukaryota; Fungi; Ascomycota; Orbiliomycetes; Orbiliales; Orbiliaceae.
GUGAGUCAUCGAAUCUUUGAACGCACAUUGCGCCUCCUGGUAUUCCGGGAGGCACGUCCGUUUGAGCGUCAGCUUAAUCCUUCCGGGCGGCGGUUUUCGUGCCGCUGCCCGGGCCUUUGGCGUGUGGAGGUGACCAUGGCGCUUCUGCGCCUCCGGUUUCCACCGCUUAAACGUGGAGAAAGCUAGCCGGCGAUGCCCCAACCGCAGUGACUUGUAGAAUUUCUAGUGUCGCAAUGCCCUUGGAAUUCCCGGCCUCUAAACAACAGAGGGACCCAGGUCCCAGACGUUUGACCUCAAAUCGGAUGAGGAUACCCGCUGAACUUAAGCAUAUCAAUAAGCGGAGGA